This 1024-nucleotide ribosomal RNA is filed under the name Neocamarosporium calvescens. RNAcentral's name for it is "SSU rRNA". It matches the Rfam family "Eukaryotic small subunit ribosomal RNA", at positions 72 to 1106 of the family's 1831-position model. Lineage: Eukaryota; Fungi; Ascomycota; Dothideomycetes; Neocamarosporiaceae. The record is from RNAcentral.
AAUUAUACCGUGAAACUGCGAAUGGCUCAUUAAAUCAGUUAUCGUUUAUUUGAUAGUACCUUACUACUUGGAUAACCGUGGUAAUUCUAGAGCUAAUACAUGCUGAAAACCCCGACUUCGGAAGGGGUGUAUUUAUUAGAUAAAAAACCAACGCCCUUCGGGGCUUCUUGGUGAUUCAUAAUAACUUUACGGAUCGCAUGGCCUUGCGCCGGCGACGGUUCAUUCAAAUUUCUGCCCUAUCAACUUUCGAUGGUAAGGUAUUGGCUUACCAUGGUUUCAACGGGUAACGGGGAAUUAGGGUUCGAUUCCGGAGAGGGAGCCUGAGAAACGGCUACCACAUCCAAGGAAGGCAGCAGGCGCGCAAAUUACCCAAUCCCGACACGGGGAGGUAGUGACAAUAAAUACUGAUACAGGGCUCUUUUGGGUCUUGUAAUUGGAAUGAGUACAAUUUAAACCUCUUAACGAGGAACAAUUGGAGGGCAAGUCUGGUGCCAGCAGCCGCGGUAAUUCCAGCUCCAAUAGCGUAUAUUAAAGUUGUUGCAGUUAAAAAGCUCGUAGUUGAAACUUGGGUCUGGCUGGCAGGUCCGCCUCACCGCGUGUACUUGUCCGGCCGGGCCUUCCUUCUGGAGAACCUCAUGCCCUUCACUGGGCGUGUUGGGGACCAGGACUUUUACUUUGAAAAAAUUAGAGUGUUCAAAGCAGGCCUUUGCUCGAAUACGUUAGCAUGGAAUAAUAGAAUAGGACGUGCGUUCCUAUUUUGUUGGUUUCUAGGAACGCCGUAAUGAUUAAUAGGGACAGUCGGGGGCAUCAGUAUUCAAUUGUCAGAGGUGAAAUUCUUGGAUUUAUUGAAGACUAACUACUGCGAAAGCAUUUGCCAAGGAUGUUUUCAUUAAUCAGUGAACGAAAGUUAGGGGAUCGAAGACGAUCAGAUACCGUCGUAGUCUUAACCGUAAACUAUGCCGACUAGGGAUCGGGCGAUGUUCUUUUUCUGACUCGCUCGGCACCUUACGAGAAAUCAAAGUUU